GGAAACCAAGGCGCAGCGAGGUCAAGAGACCAGCACACUCCAGCAUUGUCAGAGACAAAUCAAACUGAGGAGCUGGCUGAAGCCCGCACCCUCUGAGGCUGUCCAGCUGCAGUGCAUUUACACUCUGCCCACAAGAGAUAGACAACAAAAGAAUAGAUCAAGCCUGAUUUAUAGCAUUUGCUGAUUUCUGAGUUGUAAGUGUUCCCACUGUGGCUGAUUUCAAGCAGUUAACUUCAAUGUGAUGUUGGGAAGAGACACAAUUGCACACUAUUAUACAGUAUUUCAACUCUACAGAUACUGUAGACAUAAAUCAUCUGAAGAGCACAGCAGUAGAAGUGGCUGGCAGUGGAAUUUGGGUCUGGGCCUCGUGCUGAGUGGCUGUCGGCUUUGGAAUCUGACCCUCCCUGGUGGAAAAAGCUGGGCCAGCAUUUGGGGCAGUCCUCAGCGUGCAGGCCCUAUAUGCUGUCUACUUUGGGCCACACGCACUUGGCUUUGCUCCUCAGGCUGGCAGCUCUCCAGGGGCACAGUCCUCAGCCCCACCCUAGCCAGCACUCAGUAGAAGGACCAGCCCUCAGAGACUGGCUGAAUGAAUUGAUGAGUACAAGCCUGGCUGACAUUCAAGAUUUCUUCCUGGUGAAACAGAAGCACAGUGUGGAGUCCUGUGUGGAAGCUCUCAUCUUGACGUCUUGUACAAAGAGUGUCCUUCAUUAUUGCUAACACUAGAGGGGAGGGGAACCUCACUAAUCCCCCCCUGCCCGACACGUACAAACACACAAAGGUUUCUACUAGCCGGAUGUUCUGUAACCAGGAAGUUCAGAUGCCUUUUUUUUUCUCCCAGUCUAUGAGAAAAGUCACCUCUGUCCCCACCCACAUGCGCACUGCUACACGCUGUGCCUACCAAGGCUGGCAGAAGUGUGCUGGCUGGGAGUGAUUUGCUCUUGGCAUCAGCCUGAGAAUAUCCUGUGCGGCUGAGAAGGUGGUGCUGCCCUCUCUGCAACACAGGGAUUGGGAAUUGAUCGGGGCGAGGGGGCACACACUAAGGACUCAAUGCACUCUGAAAGGGGAGGGCUCCAACAUCAACAGAAUUACAAGUGCUCCACUCCCUGCCAUGCCCCCUGCAUCCCAGCAUUCACACACAUCCUCCCGCAGAUGCUGUCUGACACUAUUCACAGGGGUUUGGAAAAAAGGGAAGGCCUGCCAUAAAGUCUGCAAAGAGGUGUGACUAUGGAGUUUCAGUAGGAAAAAAAUCUCUGGGGGACCACAAUUCCUAUUGUCCUUAUGGCUAUGGAUCAUGGUUAUGGUUAUGGACAAUUAAGGAGGCGAUGUAAAAAUCACUGUCCAGGAACCCUCCCUGCAUGUCCCCGAGGAUGACACCUCCACACCCUUGUCAACAUGUCCUGGGCUUAAUGACCCUGUGAGUGCACCUAGCUUUGAAAGUUCUGGUGUUUGCACGUGUGUGUGUGUGUGCGCGCGCACACGUGUGUGUGUGUGUGAAGGAGAGAGAAACAGUGAGAGAGAGAAAAUUAAUACUCUUGUUUCCAGACUAGACUUUGCUUCUGUGCUCGAAACACACACACUCCCAUCCAAGUGCCUCCUGGACAGCCCCACUUACACAUCCUAUAGGCAACUCAAAUUGAAUCUACCCAACACAACUUGUCAUCCUUUCCUUCCCCCUCAAACUCACAGUUUGUCCUGCCUGAUGAUCCCUUUCUCAAUAAGUGGCACUGCCACUCACCUACCUGGCCAAGCAGGAAAUCUGGGCACACCCUCGUCUCACACUCCCAUAGGCCUAGUCAUCAAGUCAGGCCUGUUCUAGCCUUCACGUUUUCACUUCAACAACCUCGCUCUCCAUGCACGGUCACUACUUCAGGUCAGGCCCCCAUCUAUGUGGAAGUGCAGCAAGGCCUCCUGAUGAGCUUUCCUGCCUCUAGUUCCCCCACUAUCCCCACCCCCCCCUCCAAUCCAUUCUCAACCCUCUCAACAAACCAGUCCCGAAGGAAGUGCCCAAGGCAGCAGGAAGCAGACCUGCCUGACAAGUCUUUCUCUCCAGGUUGUAGGUGCCUGAUGUUCCCCCUUAUUCCAGUAGUUUCUGGGGACAGCACUGCCAUAUUAGCUAGCUCACCACUCUAGGUUAUCUGAUUCACCCUACUGGCAUUGGCAGAAAGGAAGGAAUGUGAACUGAGAAGAAAGUUUUGAGGCUGGGCGCGGUGGCUCAUGCCUGUAAUCCCAGCACUUUGGGAGGCCAA
Molecule: long non-coding RNA, 2246 nt
Filed under: Homo sapiens (human)
Lineage: Eukaryota; Metazoa; Chordata; Mammalia; Primates; Hominidae
Description: HSALNT0408566
Source: RNAcentral